This 253-nucleotide ribosomal RNA is filed under the name uncultured bacterium. RNAcentral describes it as "partial 16S ribosomal RNA". It matches the Rfam family "Bacterial small subunit ribosomal RNA", at positions 524 to 776 of the family's 1533-position model. The record is from RNAcentral.
UACAGAGGGGGCUAGCGUUAUUCGGAAUUAUUGGGCGUAAAGGGCGCGUAGGCGGCCAUGCGUGUCUUCCGUGAAAUCCCUCGGCUUAACUGAGGACGUGCGGAAGAAACUGCAAGGCUCGAGUCCGGGAGAGGGGGGUGGAAUUCCCAGUGUAGCGGUGAAAUGCGUAGAUAUUGGGAGGAACACCGGUGGCGAAGGCGGCCCCCUGGACCGGAACUGACGCUGAGGCGCGAAAGCUAGGGGAGCAAACGGG